CCCGCGCGUGAUCGCGGCCCGGGGCGCUUCCCGAGCUGGCCCCGGGAGGUCUCCCCGGUGCGCUCGCACACCUCUCCGACCAGAGUCGCCUGCCCCCAUCCCCCCCUUCUUUUGACUUCUGCAGGGCAUCAGUGCCUACCUGUCCCUUAGGGGUGCCGAGUGGGACGGUUGCCAAAGUUGCCAGCAGGAAGAGAAAGGCAGUCCUGGGCAUUUGAGCAUGCCCGGCGCCUGCAGCCAAGCAGGGUUUUGCAAAACGUGUGGGCUCUUGUGAAGGACCGUGGGAAACAGCGAAAUGAGCACCGGGCCCAGGAGAAACCCGAGCUUUCCCUUUGAUCUGUGCUCACCUUCCUUUUCAUGAGGGGAUGCAUUUUGAAGGAUUUCCUCCCAACCCGAGAAAACGUCUGACAGAGAACGAAAGAAUUUAUUUUUUAAAAAGAAAAGAGCAAUAGACACACGAACGAGGCUCUGUGGCAAUGGAUCGCCUUGAGGGCGCGGGUGAAUUCCUAGCCAGGCUGUGUUUGCCACCCUGUGAUGGCUCCCGUGCCAGUGGGCAUGUCAUCACUUUCUGCAUGGUGGAUACAGACGUGGAAAUAAAGGGCUUUGCAUGGGGACACUGACUCUCGGAGAGCAGCGGGGCACUGACCUUAGUUUCUUGGCUUCUCAUGUAAGUGAAUUCUCCCUAACAAAAUAGCAUGUGACAUCUCUAUCUUGUGUAGGUUAAGCUUCCUCAAAAUCUGGUGUCAGAACCAGAUGUUGUCUAGCCCGAGUCGCUGAGUCCCUGCUCCCCAUCUCAGCACUUAAAUGAUCUAAUGAUUUGUUCUUGGGCCUACACUAUAUUCUACACUGAUGCAAAGAAAUCAGGUAAACUAGGAUAUAAAUCAGGAAAUGUAAGUAAAGUAGUUCAAAGCCCUUACAACUCUGUACAAAGGCAGAGUUGUACGCCAUUCUCAUGGUACUCAUGGUACUUAUAGAGCCUCUCAAUAUAGUUACUGACUCUCAAUAUGCAGAAAGAGUUUUACACAUUGAGACCACUGAACUUAUUCCUGGUGUCACAGAAUUAACCUCAUUAUUUAUACAAUUACAGGAAACUGUAAGGAAUAGAACUCAUCCUAUAUAUGAUCCCAUACAGAUCCUCUAGCUCAAGGUAAUGAUGAGACUAAUUGUUUAUUAAUAGGACGUGUGCUAGAAGCUUCAGAGUUUGAUAAAAAAAAUAACCACCAUGUUAAUAGCAAGGGUUUGCAAAAGAAUUUUUCUAUCACUUGACAACAAGCCAAGGAAAU
Molecule: long non-coding RNA, 1280 nt
Organism: Mesocricetus auratus (golden hamster)
Lineage: Eukaryota; Metazoa; Chordata; Mammalia; Rodentia; Cricetidae
Exons: 3
Source: RefSeq, a predicted model, not a curated record